UACGUAGGUGGCAAGCGUUAUCCGGAAUUAUUGGGCGUAAAGAGCGCGCAGGUGGUUGAUUAAGUCUGAUGUGAAAGCCCACGGCUUAACCGUGGAGGGUCAUUGGAAACUGGUCGACUUGAGUGCAGAAGAGGGAAGUGGAAUUCCAUGUGUAGCGGUGAAAUGCGUAGAUAUAUGGAGGAACACCAGUGGCGAAGGCGACUUUCUGGUCUGUAACUGACACUGAGGCACGAAAGCGUGGGGAGCAAACAGGAUUAGAUA
Molecule: ribosomal RNA, 261 nt
Filed under: uncultured prokaryote
Description: partial 16S ribosomal RNA
Rfam family: Bacterial small subunit ribosomal RNA
Source: RNAcentral